AUUGAACGCUGGCGGCAGGCCUAACACAUGCAAGUCGAACGAGGGGCGGACGGGUGAGUAAUGUCUGGGAAACUGCCUGAUGGAGGGGGAUAACUACUGGAAACGGUAGCUAAUACCGCAUACCAUCGGAGUGGCCCAGAUGGGAUUAGCUUGUAGGUGAGGUAACGGCUCACCUGGGCGACGAUCCCUAGCCGGUCUGAGAGGAUGACCAUCCACACUGGAACUGAGACACGGUCCAGACUCCUACGGGAGGCAGCAGUGGGAAAUUUUGCACAAUGGGCGCAAGCCUGCUGCGGCCAUGCCGCGUGUAUGAAGAAGUCCUUCGGUUUGUAAAGUACUUUCAGCGGGGAGGCGUUACCCGCAGAAGAAGCACCGGCUAACUCCGUGCCAGCAGCCGCGGUAAUUC
This 406-nucleotide ribosomal RNA is filed under the name uncultured bacterium. Its description in RNAcentral is "partial 16S ribosomal RNA". It matches the Rfam family "Bacterial small subunit ribosomal RNA", at positions 30 to 526 of the family's 1533-position model. The record is from RNAcentral.